CACUUGAAUGCAUGAAAUUCCAGAUUAGGGUUUUGAAUUUCCCCAAUUCUGCCUGGCACUGUUCAUCAUAGUUAGAGGCCGAAUUGGCCUUAGCACAAAACAUGAAAGUUGUAUAGAAUGAUGUUCUAUAGUUGCCUGCAAAAUUUCAGCUCAAUCCGAGUUCGGUAGCCUGUGAAAGGACCAAAAUACCCCUGCUGCCCUGUUUCUGUCCGAACCUGGAAAUCAGCUUUGGUAAUUGGUUAGUUUGACUGGGAAUACUACUGAUUUGGUUGUUGAUGUCUUCUUACGAAUUCUAGCCUUGUAUCUUAGCUUUUAAAUGGCUUUGGAAUUACUUGAUUUGGAGUUGUGUGUGCUGAGUUAU
This 361-nucleotide long non-coding RNA is filed under the name Coffea arabica (coffee). RNAcentral describes it as "long non-coding RNA (CARA_LNC000589)". Lineage: Eukaryota; Viridiplantae; Streptophyta; Magnoliopsida; Gentianales; Rubiaceae. The record is from RNAcentral.